This is a long non-coding RNA of Colius striatus (speckled mousebird), 1148 nucleotides long. RefSeq lists it as uncharacterized. The record is from RefSeq and is a predicted model, not a curated record. Lineage: Eukaryota; Metazoa; Chordata; Aves; Coliiformes; Coliidae. The transcript is spliced from 2 exons.
CGGUUCGUUAGCGUUACUUUAAUGAGGCACUAACCUCACUGUAAUGCUUUCAUUAAUGCUUGUUGCUUGUUGAGUGCCAAGUGCUUGGCUCCUCUCCGACAGCCCGGCUGGGCCACAGAGGGAAUGCUUGAGGGGGCCUUUGAUGCAAAACGCGAGCGCGGUUACACCACAGGCAGGACAAAGGACAGUUGGUGGGAUGAGACAGCCCAAAAUUCACCAGCUGGUGCCUAGAGCAGGCAAAGCAGUGAGACAGCGAGAGCUGGGCAGGCAGCAGGGGACGUGGGACAGAACAAGCAAAGGGAGAGGAGGAGAUGCUGGUUCCACCAGCAGCACCCACACUGUUCCAGUUGACAGCGGUGGGGUCAGGGUGAGGGCCAGGACAAUGAGCAGUGACAAUAUAUCAAGAGGUGCCAUUUGAUGAGAAGGGAUGACAGGGGGUGGUAUACAGGACCCUGGGAGGCACCCACCUACUGCUGCUGCAGAGAUCUCAUGUGCUUUGAGGCCACAGCUGCAUCUCACCUGGAUCUCACUGUAGCCUCCUCGGUCGAACCAACCAACUUCAAAAUGUCUAAGGCAGCUGUACCCCAAAAGCCUCUGCCCUAGAAUGACUGUUGCAGGAUAAUUAUUUUCCAGCUGCUCCUGACACCACCGUGGAGUUGAUCUGCUUCAAAGACAUGCCAGAGAGGAUGGAGUCCCUACUCCAGUCCCUCUGCACUACACGCGGUGUUGCCCAUGACCCCGUUGGGCUGCAGAGGGGAGGAAGAGACUUUGCCCCCCAGCCCUGUCCCCGUGGAGCCCACCUGUGGGGUAAUGCCCAGGCACUCUGAGCACACCUUUCAGAGGCAGACAUGGACAGAAGGACAAGGAUUACCCCAGCAGCUGCUGGGACUCACUCCCCCACACCUCCUGGGAGCUGAGAUUCAAAGCCAAACAUGGAAGAUUCACAGGGUCCUGAUGUACACUUGUCCUGCUAAAGUUUUUUUUCCUGAAAACUGGCCUGAUUCUUGUGAAAAAAAAAAGAGAAUCAAAGAGGAGAAAGAAAAACGAGGGUUUUUUAUCAAGCAAGACUAGUUGGAUGAAGCCAUUUUUAAAGAGGCUGCUAUAGGCAACUGGGAAAUUGGCCAAAUAAAAAGUACUUUUUGACAAAA